Molecule: ribosomal RNA, 282 nt
Filed under: Vibrio vulnificus
Lineage: Bacteria; Pseudomonadati; Pseudomonadota; Gammaproteobacteria; Vibrionales; Vibrionaceae
Description: partial 23S ribosomal RNA
Rfam family: Bacterial large subunit ribosomal RNA
Source: RNAcentral
CAGGAAAAGCCUCUAAGCUUCAGAUUGUAAGGAAUCGUACCCCAAACCGACACAGGUGGUCGGGUAGAGAAUACCAAGGCGCUUGAGAGAACUCGGGUGAAGGAACUAGGCAAAAUGGUACCGUAACUUCGGGAGAAGGUACGCUCUUGAUGGUGAAGUCCCUUGCGGAUGGAGCUGACGAGAGUCGCAGAUACCAGGUGGCUGCAACUGUUUAUUAAAAACACAGCACUGUGCAAAAUCGUAAGAUGACGUAUACGGUGUGACGCCUGCCCGGUGCCGGAA